Molecule: transfer RNA, 86 nt
Filed under: Antarctobacter heliothermus
Lineage: Bacteria; Pseudomonadati; Pseudomonadota; Alphaproteobacteria; Rhodobacterales; Roseobacteraceae
Description: tRNA_Leu_CAA
Rfam family: tRNA
About the family: Transfer RNA (tRNA) molecules are approximately 80 nucleotides in length.
Source: RNAcentral
GCCCAAGUGGCGGAACGGUAGACGCAGGGGAUUCAAAAUCCCCCGCCUUUGCGGGUGUGUGGGUUCGAAUCCCACCUUGGGCACCA